ACCACUUCGGUGGGGAUUAGUGGCGAACGGGUGAGUAACACGUGGGCAAUCUGCCCUGCACUCUGGGACAAGCCCUGGAAACGGGGUCUAAUACCGGAUAUUGACCACCGCAGGCAUCUGUGGUGGUGGAAAGCUCCGGCGGUGCAGGAUGAGCCCGCGGCCUAUCAGCUAGUUGGUGAGGUAAUGGCUCACCAAGGCGACGACGGGUAGCCGGCCUGAGAGGGCGACCGGCCACACUGGGACUGAGACACGGCCCAGACUCCUACGGGAGGCAGCAGUGGGGAAUAUUGCACAAUGGGCGAAAGCCUGAUGCAGCGACGCCGCGUGAGGGAUGACGGCCUUCGGGUUGUAAACCUCUUUCAGCAGGGAAGAAGCGAAAGUGACGGUACCUGCAGAAGAAGCGCCGGCUAACUACGUGCCAGCAGCCGCGGUAAUACGUAGGGCGCGAGCGUUGUCCGGAAUUAUUGGGCGUAAAGAGCUCGUAGGCGGCUUGUCACGUCGGUUGUGAAAGCCCGGGGCUUAACCCCGGGUCUGCAGUCGAUACGGGCAGGCUAGAGUUCGGUAGGGGAGAUCGGAAUUCCUGGUGUAGCGGUGAAAUGCGCAG
Molecule: ribosomal RNA, 604 nt
Filed under: Streptomyces violaceus
Lineage: Bacteria; Bacillati; Actinomycetota; Actinomycetes; Kitasatosporales; Streptomycetaceae
Description: bacterial SSU rRNA
Rfam family: Bacterial small subunit ribosomal RNA
Source: RNAcentral